Molecule: ribosomal RNA, 1364 nt
Filed under: uncultured bacterium
Lineage: Bacteria
Description: partial 16S ribosomal RNA
Rfam family: Bacterial small subunit ribosomal RNA
Source: RNAcentral
AGAGUUUGAUCCUGGCUCAGGAUGAACGCUGGCGGCAUGCCUAACACAUGCAAGUCGAACGGAGUUAUCGAUUUCGGUUGGUAACUUAGUGGCGGACGGGUGAGUAACGCGUGAGGAACCUGCCCUUCAGUGGGGAAUAACAGCCGGAAACGACUGCUAAUACCGCAUAACGUCAUCGGAUCGCAUGAUCUGGUGACCAAAGGAUUUAUUCGCUGAAGGAUGGCCUCGCGUCCGAUUAGGCAGUUGGUGAGGUAACGGCCCACCAAACCUACGAUCGGUAGCCGAACUGAGAGGUUGAUCGGCCACAUUGGGACUGAGACACGGCCCAGACUCCUACGGGAGGCAGCAGUGGGGAAUAUUGGGCAAUGGGCGAAAGCCUGACCCAGCAACGCCGCGUGAAGGAAGACGGUCUUCGGAUUGUAAACUUCUUUGAUUGGGGAAGAGCACAAUGACCUACCCAAAGAACAAGUCACGGCUAACUACGUGCCAGCAGCCGCGGUAAUACGUAGGUGACAAGCGUUAUCCGGAUUUACUGGGCGUAAAGGGCGUGUAGGCGGCCUUGCAAGUCAGAAGUGAAAUUCUCGGGCUCAACCCGGGCGCUGCUUCUGAAACUGUAGGGCUUGAGUGCUGGAGGGGAUAGCGGAAUUCCUAGUGGAGCGGUGAAAUGCAUAGAUAUCGCGCAGAACUCCGAUCGCGAAGGCAGCGUGCCGGCUCCUCACUGACGCUGAAGCACGAAAGCGUGGGGAUCGAACAGGAUUAGAUACCCUGGUAGUCCACGCAGUAAACGAUGAGCACUAGGGUGUGCGGCCGGUUAGGGCAGCGUGCCACAGCGAAAGCGUUAAGUGCUCCACCUGGGGAGUACGCCGGCAACGGUGAAACUCAAAGGAAUUGACGGGGGCCCGCACAAGCGGAGGAACAUGUGGUUUAAUUCGAUGAUACGCGAGGAACCUUACCCGGGCUCGAACGGCGGGGGACGGGCACUGAAAAGUGCCUUCACGCGAGUGUCCCCGCCGAGGUGCUGCAUGGUUGUCGUCAGCUCGUGCCGUGAGGUGUCGGCUUAAGUGCCAUAACGAGCGCAACCCCCGCCGGCAGUUGCUAACGGGCAAUGCCGAGGACUCUGCCGGGACUGCCGGCGCAAGCCGCGAGGAAGGCGGGGAUGACGUCAAAUCAGCACGGCCCUUACGUCCGGGGCGACACACGUGUUACAAUGGCGGGUACAGCGGGAAGCGACCGUGCGAGCGGGAGCGGAGCCCGAAAACCCGUCUCAGUUCGGAUAGGAGUCUGCAACCCGACUCCGUGAAGCUGGAUUCGCUAGUAAUCGCGCAUCAGCCAUGGCGCGGUGAAUACGAAGCCGGGCCUUGCAC